GCAGUUCAGCUUUUCAGCUUGAAGCUGUAUUGCACAUGACACGUAACCCCACUGUAUGAGGGAGAAGAUAGGCAUGUUGCAUACAGGGGGAGGUGGCUCAGAGCCAGAAGCAAAGCAUCUAGUAGAAAUUGUGACUGUUGCAGUGAUGCUGAUGUGUGUGAGAUAUGUUACUCAGAGAGAUUUCCUCUGGCUUCCCCAUGAGUUUGAAAGACCUGCACUGAGCUUAGGGUAGAAAUGCAAACUUUGUGGCUGGGCUUGCAAAACUAAUUUUUUUUGUCCCCGGAUCCCAGGAUCGUACAGUUUCAUAUGCCAAAUUUUAUUAAACAUUUUGGUUCUUAAACAAAAAAUGUGGGUGUAUGAAAAGAGAUGGUUGUAUGUAGGUGAUUUAAUGUGAAAGAAGAAAGUGAGCCUUCAUUCCCCUGUGUACUUGAUUUUCCAACCAGAGACCUCCUCUGCCGUCAGAGGUAGUACAGAACUAGGAGGAACACAGCUGGAGGUAUGAAAACCGAGGCAAAGUCUUCAGUAAGACACAGAAUGAAAACCAAGUAAAUUGAAUGAAACCAGGAGUGUUAGAUGUAAAACCUUAACUGCUGGUAGUAAACCACUGUUUUGUUGACAGAAGGACUAACCCUCACUUGGGCACGAAUCUACUUCCUCUUGACAUCAGUCAGGUACAAGGUUUAAGCAUGCAAGGGAGUUACCUAAUGAAACUUCAGCUUUUAAGAUUUAAUAGCCUGUGUUUAUGAGAUCAAUGUACAUAGUUCAGAUGCUGUUUCUGUCACAAACUUUGUCUUCAUUUCUUUUUGGUGGCAGUUUAUUCUAUGUUGGAAAGCACACUACACUUAAAGAGACUCUAGAUUAACAUUAAUUAAAAUAGCUGUGCAAUGAUGUACACGAUUACAAAAGUAUAGCAGUAGUCGUAGAUAUUUCCUCUAUAAAAGAGAAGCCAAAAGCUUUUGUUCCAUUUUUUAAUGAGGAUUUAUUUAAUUAUGUUUCAGUGUUUGUAUUCCAAAACUCUUCCUUGGAAACGAAGACCCGUUCAGAAAAGUUCUCAUAUCUGUAUUGUCAUCUUUGUAACUUGAAAUGUGGAGGGAUGAGCUGAUCUUCUGGGGGGUUUAAGCCUCCAAUAUUGGUAAAUCUAUCAUUAAUGUAGCAGCAGAACUUCAGAUGGGGUACUUGGCCAAUCUCUGAUGCUGCAGAGUUUGAUCCCUGGAACAUCCUAAUAAUCCUGAUAAAUAAUAUUAAAUCUCAUGGUAGUAGUAUGCAUUACAGUGCACAGUAAACCAAACCAAUUCACAACAUGUCAUACACUGCUUCUAUUAAGAUCUUCUGCUGAGGAGCUGAGCUCAGCUCUGUUACAUAGUGUAUUUUCCAUGUAAAUUCUAAAAAAAAAAAACCAAAAAAACCCCAAAAAACAAAACCCAAAAAACAACAGGUUAUAAGCCCUCAGCAACAAGCUUUCCAAGGUACCCAAAUUAACACUGAAUCCAUGAGUUUGAAAAGGGUCUGUUGUGAAUGAAUUGCAUGAGACUGCUGCCCGAUGCAGCUGCACAUUUGACAGUGCUGACCUGUGAGAGCCCUGACAGGGAGGUCUUGUGAAAAGGAGAAGUUGUUUAAAAGUCCCAUGCUUCCUUCCUUCCUCCGAUGGGCUGCUCUAGCAGUAUCUAAGUUCUGUUGCAUACUUUAGGGCUUGAUUUUCUUUAAACUCACCUGGCUGGGGGUUAUGCUGAAGGAGCUGGGAGAGAAGACACUUUGAGCUCACUUAUAAAGUGCACAAAAAUAGUGGAGUCUGCAUGGAGAGAUUAAGAAGGAUACUGGGGACUCUGAUAGGUAUGUAGAGGCUGCUCCCAGUGCAAUAGUAACAUGAUAUCUUUGCACGUGUAUUACACCAGCUUUUGAAGAGGAAGUUAUGAGAGAAAGCAAAGGAACCACAUACAUAAUGAAACUAUAUUAUGAGUGAUGAAAGUACUACCUAGCCUGUGGGCCUCCCUUUCUCCAGGAGCUGUUUAAGCCUUAGUUUCUUCGUCUCUGUAUUCUGCAAUUGGCCCUUGUUUCGUUUCCCUGACUGUCCAGAAAACUCUUCCCUUGUUGGUGACUCAGAAUGUUUCCCAUGUGAGCAGUAUCACUGUGCUCGUGCUGGUGACUUACUAAGGCAGUAUGUUGGUCAGAACCAGCCCAGUGCCAGUGCGUACCCAAAGAUGUCAAGGCUGGGUAGAAGUAGAAGACAGAAGAAUUAGGAGGUAGGAUAUAGUGGAUCUUAGGAAAGAUUUAGAUAUUCCUGAGGCAACAGAAGAAUGAUGAACACAACUGUUUCCCUUACGAUUUCUGCCUCCCUGAGUACACCUAUCCCUUCAGUAGUAUCUGGCUCACUUUCCUGGGCUUUGACAAAGACAAAAUGAGGCCAUUUGCCCAUUCUCCCUACACUUUCCAGGCCUUAUGCAUACCUCUUUAAUUCUUCAGAAACUGAAUGAAGCCAUAUUGUUCUAAUUUUACUCUUUCUAUGUUAUCCAAAGAUGCUCAUAAGGGCCAGCAUGGUUGGGACAGUAGGAUUCUAUUUCAACUCUUCCAGUAGGCAGCCAAUUGACCACAGGUGUUUUGCAAUUUUGUAGUUAAUUUCUAAGAAGAUACCGAAGCCAGCGUUUUGCCUCAGAAAUAUGAAUUGCUACAUCAUGAUGUCUGCACCAAAGGUGCCUUCUUCUUCUUAAUGUAGAAGAGCUUUACAUGAUGAGCAAGGUGUUUCCUGGUAAAGGAAUGUGUUUAAGGUUUGCUGAUGAGUGUAAAGUUCGGCUUUCUUGAAACAUGACCAGCUCUGGUUUAAAAUAGCUCCGUACUGAGAAAACAGGACAAAAGUUAGAAGACUUACCUACUAAGAAACUGAUUUGUGGUUGAAAGAAUUUUAGAAUUAUUUGGAGGCAUAAAGCAUGGGAUGAAACCUACAAUAAAAUACUAGUAAUUUAUAUUGAAACAAAAUAUUUUGUAAAAUCCAUCAACCAUAUCCAUUGUUUAUGUACCAGCCUUAUCUUUUAGUGACUUAUUGUCCCUGAAGGAAGGUUGACUCAGAGACAGUAGUGCAGGAUCCGACACUGUGCUUUCAUUUUGGCUUGCUUGAUAUCUCCCAUCCUCACAGGGCCCAAGGCUACGGUAUGAAAUUAUUAAUGAACAGUUAGUUAAGCUGUGAAAUGUGCUCUCAAGCAAAAGGAACAUAUUCAAGCAAAAGAAACAUAUUCUACCAACAUUUUCUGGUAGCCCACAUCACCCACAUCCUCUGCAAGUGAGAGGCAAUAGGCAACAAAGAUGAUAAAAGUCUUGUAUGUGUUCUCUGGAGCUGAAAGGCCAAGAUUAGGUUAUUAAUUCCAGAAAACUCCUAAAUGUUACCACUUGCUCUGCAACCUAGGCGAGUCCCUCUGCCCCUUUACCCACCCCCUCUUCUUAAAGUGCACAUAAGUAGUCGUGAACAACAUUUUCUUUGUUGUAUGAUGUCUGAGUCACUCUAGUAGGACAGCACCUUCCCAUGUUUAAUAUAAUUAACUUACUGUACUCCUGGGAAAAAGAGACUGUUCUUGCAAUCUUUUGACUGUGCUUGACUGAGCACAGAGGGGUUGGAAGGUGCUCAACACAGUUCAGCAGAAGUCUACUGCAGAAGACAGAUUGAAUAGUUUUGGAUAUUUUACCAGAGCAACAAAUUUGAGGUCAUCUUUAUACCUUUAUGCUGUGCUUUCUUCCACGUAUCAUACCGGUUUUGGAACAUGGUAAAAUGCUUGGAUAUCUUUGUCUGUGUCUGAUACUUGGUCAUUCCUAGCAAUAUUUUAGGGAUGCGAGGGAGUGAAUGCUCAGUGAUACCUGAAGUGAGGCCAAUCUUGCUCAGAAAAGAUUAUGACUAGACUUCUCUACAGGCUUUUUUUCCUACUGGUGAUUUCUGGGACUUUUCCUGGAAAGUUGUUCUCUGUGGCUCACAGUGUAUGGCAAGCUUUCUCUGAAAUUCCCAUCUGGCACUUUCAGGAGCAAAGCUAGCUUUCUGGUUCAUCUCACUACUCCCACAGAGAAAAGAUUUCGGAGGAGAACCGAGCUGCAGAUAGAAUUGCAAGGGAGUCCCUUUUCUUAAUUAAGCACAGAGCAGACAAGAUUUUCUGUGCUUUGGUUGUGGGUACAAAAGCUUCACACAGUCGCAUCGGGAGAUCCUACACUCCUGCUCUGGGAUGUGGAGAAGGCAACUGUUUCUUCUAUUGGCUCAAUUUGCAAGGUGUUAGCCUUCCACAUGGAGGUCUGUGUGGAAGCUGUGCUUUUGACUAAACCUGUCCCUAUUUCUGUCAGUUUGUUCAAGUGGUGAAGAUGCUGGCUAACUUUCCAAUUGUUCCCCAAGUAACUAACACAGUGUGGCUGAUCAAAGAAGGACUCACCCAUCUGAAGUAUGAAAAUCUGCUUAUUCCUAAGAACUGGCAGAUAUAUUCUGAAGUAAUGUACAUUGGAAUUGAGGUAUCUGCCAGUUCUUAGGAAUAAACAGAGACUUUUGAGGUGUUAGCUAGAGCCUGACAGGUAACGAACUGCCUAAUAUCAAUUAGGGCAGUGUUCCUUUGCAGUAGAGUACUUAUUCCGUUAAUCUCAAUAUUUCAUUGCAUUGUUUUCUCACUGCUUAUUUCAUCAAACUGAGGAGAAGGAGAGCAUUGUGUUCUUUGAAGGCUUAAAUUUGGACCCAAGUUUCCUCAGGCAACACUACUGUGAGUAAAAUCAUGUCCAGUCUUGAAAUGAAACUCCAAUUUCUGCCUUAUUGGUUUUUUUUUUUAAUGCUCACUUUUUGGUAAUGAAGCUACUGUUAAAAUAUCUGUAUGUGCAAGAAAAGAGAAUAUCAGAAUUGAAAUACAGUCUUCCGUGUUUUCAAUUUUUUUCCAUUUUCGUAUGUUUCACAUAAAAAUUGGUCUCUGAUUUAGAUUAUGACAAGAUAUAUUGAUAGACACCCACAGGAAACUAUUAAUACAUAUCUUUUCCUAUGGCUCUGUCUAACUCAUGUCUUCUUAAAAUAGGAGGAGAAAGCAAUAAUUUAGCAUGAAUUAGUGUCUGAGAUAUAAGGAUUUAGUAUAAACUUUUUUUUUUUAUCUCAAGAUGCAGUGUAGAGAUAUGGGAAGGAAGUGGGAUGUCAAGUGAGAAACUUCUACGUCUGAUUCUGUUACAAGUCCAGAUACAAAUUUCAGUGCUUGUCUGAAUCUUCAUUUCAUCCCUAACACAAGACAAAGACAUAAGUGGACUUGUGAAUUAAAGAAUACAUACUAUAUAAUGUGUGUCUGUUGAAUUGCAGACACAAAAUUCCCCCUUCAAAGAAACUAUCCACAGAAAAGAAUGUUAGUUGCACUACUUCAACAUAAACAAAAGAUGUCACUAUCAGAUACAAAAAGAGUUGAGCUAAUUAAAGAUUGGUCUGAAACUGUUCAGAUCAUGCCAUCAUGAAACAAUAAUGAAUAUUUUUUAGUUUCUUUUUUUAUACAAAGGGAAACCACUGAAGACAAUCCAUGAAACUACUUUAUCUGAAAAAAAACCCCAAAUUCUGACUUAUGAAGCUCCUUUCUUGAUAGGAAUGCUUAUAGAAACGCUUCCAGGUUCCUGUAAAUGCCCCCACAUUUCACACUCAUCAUAUCAUGUGAAAUUCUUGACCCUGAAGAAGAUGCAGGGUGAAUCACUAAACCAAAAUGAAAGAAGAAGAAUAUGGAGAAUAGAAAGUUUGUGGAUUAUGAAGACAAAAUAUAGUAUAGAGCAGAACAGAAGGGGAAGUUCGCAAUGCAGUAGAUGUUAGAGGAAAAACAGCACUGAAGGAAGAUAUUAUCGCACCACUCUCCUUGAUAUUUCAAUGGGGUUACAUUAAGUGUGUUAGAAGGAUGUCUAGUACCUUAUGCACAUCAAUUUUCAUGGUUCUAUUGAGGUCAAACUGCUAUUGCCUUUUUAGAAAGGAAUACUGUGUUCAUGCGUUAUAACCAGACAAAAUUGUAGGGCAGUGCUUGCCCAGGAGUGUAAUUACCAGGAAAGCUGUAUCUGCAGGCACAGACUGACUCUUUCCAUGUCCAGUUGGAUUUGCAUAUCCUGUCCUGUUCUGGGUUACCUCCACCAGAAACAUUCUGGACUAGAUCUGAAAAUCCUUGCCUGGCCCAACUUCUCUCUUCCAGCUUUCCUGAGAGUUUCAGCUGUUCUCUCUAUUUCUUAGGAGUGGUAGAGCAGAACAUUGUCCUUUGAUUCUCCUUAGUCUUACUGAGAUCAGCUGGUGCAUCAGCCAAAAGAAGUGUGCAUAGCUGAUACUCUUUAUCCCUGCUUUCGUAUCUGCCUCUGAUGCUCUUGUUCAUACUUUUCAGUGUUUGCUUUGUUUUUCUUUUUUAAUUUUCUUUUUCUUUCUUUUUUUUUCUGUUGUGUGAACACAGUGUUCAUAGAAGAGGUAGUUCAAGGGAAGAAAUUCAUUGUCCCUCUGUUAGUCCCUUGGGGAAUCUGCUCAAUGCUCAGUUUAGCUGGAGACUUAUAUUCAUUUCUCUGUGAGUUCCUUCUGCUCCGGAAAACUUCCCCCUUCAAGGGAAAAUCCAACUUCAGCCACAAGUGGGGAGUCCCAGGCAGCUGGACAAGAGGAGAGAGGGGUGUAAAGGACAUAGAAAUUGCUUCAGAGAAACAAAAGCAUCUGUGGAGACAAUCUUCUGUGCACUGCCAGUAGACAUAACUGGGUCUUUGGAGACCUGUAGACUAAACCUAUUACUUGUUCCAUGUUGAAAUUGGCUAUCUUGGUCCCACGCUCUGGCAACAGGGAGUUUGGAAAGUUGGUGAAAGCAAGCUGUGGAAAGUGAUGGGAAUUUUUGCCUGAUAAAACACUGGGAAAAAGUUGACUGAACAUGUCAGGAUCCAGCCAAAUGAAGGAGUAAUAGAGGAGGCCUUUAAUGUUUGCAAAAGGAAAAAAUAAUACUCAAAUAAUUCAGGCAUAUUUGUCGAGGUGUAGAAAUUUUAUCUCCCACACUGAUUCAUAAGCUAGUUGGUAGGGAAUAUACUUGCAUGAGUGUGAAUACAGGGGCAGGAAUGGCACAGUAGGAAGCCUGUUGUGUGGCUCAACUGCUGAUGAAUAUAUUUAGAAGUUGAAUCUAUUCUUUCAAUAUUUAUUCUCAGGACCAAUUUUGGGUACUUUUAUUGUACCAAUGACCUAACAGAUCACUAGGUCAGGUGGACAUUAUAUCAUACACUGUGUUUAGGAUGUAAAUUUAAGAGUACAUUUGCAUCCAUUUAGAUAAUUUGUCUUGUGACAACAACUGAGAGAAAGUCACUGGAACUUCACUUUGAAUAUAUCCAAACUAAUAGAAAUUUUUCUAUUCCUUCCAUAGGAUCUUUCAAUCAGAUUAUCACUUUCUUGUUGAAUGAUAAUAGAAGUGUUAGUGGUUUGAUCUUACUAAGGAUGAAAGACAAGAAAGACUAUAGUGGUUUUAUUUUUUUCCCAUCUUAGAAAAACUGUGAGGUGGGUGACAGCAGAAAAUGUAUUGAAGAAGUAUUCCAAGUGUUGAUAAAAACAUCAUUCAAUUCUGGGUCUCGUAAGAACUUCCCUGAAAGAUGAGAAGCACAGUCUUCUUUUCUCUUCCUUAUCUUGGCAUCUCCUUAAAAGAAUCGGCUCUGUCACUCAGCAGAGUGUAGUGUUACAUUAAUUAUAGCAUGCCGCAUAGCAUGUAAUGAGAGCUAACUGAUUCAUUUAGCUUCAGGAAAAAAUCUCAAAGUCAAAUUACUUUUGUUUCUGAAGAAGUGUGCAUAAUGUCUAGAAUUUGUAUUUCUUAAGUGAUUUCUAUCAUCGCCUAAAUUUCAUAUCGUUCCUAAGUGUUUUUACACGUUUCUUUGUGUAGUAAGUGGUGAUAUGAAAUAUUUAUAGAUACUCUUCUGUUGCCAAUUCAUGUUUUUAUUUUCCAGCAAUUGUAGGACAUUUUUCUGUAGCUGUUCUUUUUCUUGAUGCUGUUCUAAAAUGAAAAACCUUUUUUUCAGUCAUGCAAGAGCAUAAUCACGUCACCUGAUACACAUUAUUUUCCAGUAGUGGCACGUGUAUCUGUGUUGCUGCAAUGAACUGGAUGCUGAGUUAUCAAAAAGUAUCUUUAAAACAUCUGCUCAGAUGCAUGGGAGAACUCUGUAUUUGUCCUGUGUUUGUUUGUUGCUUAUUUGCCUUACUGUGCUGCUUAGACUGCAAAUGGAUGUUGAACGGUGUUGCGCCUGGAAAUGAGAGUAAUGUUUAUUUGCACGGGUCUUUGUGUAAUGCUUCACCAUUUCACUGAGUUAUUUACAUUAUAUUCAUUUUACUUGCCUGUGGUAGAAUAAGGAAGUUAUUGAUGGAUCUAAUCCUGUCAUUAAGUAUGAUUUAAUUGUACAGUUUGGUACACGAUCGUCUGAAUUACGCAAGCGUUUACAAACCUCAGUCGGUCUACCUUAGAAGCAAAUUUAUUUUGGAAAAUGUAUAAUUUAUUGACAUGUUGGGGGUUAGUGGUACUGCAGAGUACCAUAGCAUCAAUGCAAGGAUAACAUAGCUAUUAUUUUUUCACUUAGCUAUUCAUUUACAUGUAUUUCAGGAACCACAAAACCUGUUGCUAUCAUCACUGUCCUCUCCUCUUAGAGCUUUAUAAUCUAUGAGUAAAUCAAUGAAGCAAGAGAGGAAUAGCUGGUAGUGUAGAUGGAACUUAAAAGGAUCUUGCUAUAGCAUAAUUUUUUAGGACUCACAACAAAGCAACGUUUUAAAGGAAAAUGUGAAGGAACGCAUAAAUAGGAUAGAAGAAAAUAGGGAGGGGUACAUCUCAAAAUGUAACAGGUGGCUGUUCUACAGGCAGUAGAUACGUCAGGGCUACUCUGUAACAGAUUUUACAAACAGAAGACUAGUAGUGUUCUAUUUGUGAUGAUAGAAAGUCAAGAAUAAGAGCAGAGAGGUCACAAGAAAGGAGAUUAAAUUAAUAUAUCAAGGUAUAAAGUUCAUUUUGGCUGAAACAUCUGCAUGGUGCAGGAUGGUUUUGCUAAAGCUGGGAGAAGAAGAUUAUUGCUGGCACUGAGAUGAUGCAUAAUGAGAAACAAAACAAUUAUAGCUGGAUGAACAGAAGAAUGUUUUAUUUAAGGCUCUUAUUCAGGAAGUAUCUGCAAGAUUUCUUUGUAGCCUCGCAUGAGGAUCAAGAGAGAAAUUCAAGCUGAACAUGAUGCUGCCUUUAUGGGCCCAGAUGAUUGUCAGGAUGGUGAUGUUUCCACCAUAAGGGAAAAAAAAACGGGCAGGUGGGAAAUUACUGGGGGAGGAUGAUUAACCAUAAUAAGCUUACACUGAUGAUUUCACAUCCACUGUGAGCUGUCAGAGAGACAAGCUGCGUGGUUAGUUGAGUGAAAAUGAUUCAUGGCUAGAAUGGAAACGUGGAUUUGUAAGCUGUGAGUAUGAAGGUGUUAAGCGCACUGAGGGAGUAAUUAGAAAAAAGGAGCAGAAGAGAAAGGAGCCAAAAUGAACACUGUUCCUCUUUAAGUGCUGGAGGGCAUUGAAGAUGUUCUCCAAACCGUGUUUGUGAACUGCUUAAGAGGUGGAGAGAAUGGAGACUCUGAAGCCAACGAAUGCCAAACUUUCAGAAAUACAUGGCAGUUGUGUCAAGAUGUGGCAGACCAAGAAUGAGAUGACUGCAGUGCUGCAGUUGUAAGGUUCAGUUAAGAAGUCACUAGAGAAUGUGGUGAAAAUAGUUGAGUUAAAUUCAGUUGCCAGGAACUGAACUAGAUGAGGUCGAAGAUGUAAAUAAUAAAAUCAGCUUCAGGCAGUUCUUCUCACAACUUGUUCAACAAACUUGGAGUAUCUGAAAUAAUUAGUUUGAUCUACUCGCUAAAUUAAACCUCAUUGCAAAAUAAUUCUGUCAGAAAGAGCUCUUCCAUUUUCCAACAUCAAGCCUGCAGAAAACAGCUGUAGCUGAUUAAAGAAGACUGGUAGCAUAGGAUGAAUUAGUCAGAAGAAGGUAAAUACGUGUAAGGUUAAAAAACAGGUAGCUGUUUUGGAAAAAGUACAAAACCAAACAACCUCGCUGAUGCAAUGCCAACUUGUUGAAACAAAUGAAAACUAAUGAAAGAACAUGAUAUAAUUGGUAGAGUUCAGAAAAAAUGUAGUUUAAAACCAAGAGGGAGAGCUAUGACAACACUGCACUGGUUUUAUAGAGAAAAAAAUUGCUGUUCAUAUUUGCAUCAAUUUCUUCCAUGCUGAUUUUGGCCAUAAUUUUAGUCCUUUUGCCUCAUUGAUAAAAAUAUAUUCACCUAAUGAAUCAUAUUCCAACAGAGAUGAGAGGAGAAAAAGCUACGGAAGUGGCAGAUUUUAAAGACAGGGUAAGAACAGGGUUAUUUGUGUUGGGGGGAGAAACAGUCAUGAAAGAAAGGUUAAGAAAAAAAAAGAGAUAGGGAGUGGUGCAAGGAGGUGUAAAAUAAGACCAAGAGCUGGGAGAGGGAAGGAUCACGGUAGUGGGAGAAGAUGUUAAAUGGGGAGAGAAGGAAUAAAAUUUCUACGUGUUAGGUGAGAAGAGGGAGAAAGCCAAAGAAAAAGCAUGAGCAACUGAAAGCAAGCUAAAGUGGGGAAGAAUAUCACAGUGUAUUUAGUCAGUUAUCACUUGAAAGAAAUUGGUGACUUCUGGUAUGAUUUAGCACAUGUUCUGAGAUAUCCCUACAGAGCUCUCAACCAGAAAAGAGACACGUUCUGUUGGACGUUAGAUUCUGGUUUUCACCUUAACGCUUUUGCCCUGCUUGGAUUUUUCCAGCUAAAUCAAUCUCUCCUCCCAUCACCUUCUUUUUAAUAAUAAAUUCUUGCUCUAAGUUUACAUUUCCCUUUUUCUUUUAUGAAGACUAACAUUUUCAUAUGAGAAACGGUGUUAAAAGAGUUCACUUGCUCUGGAUUGUUUACCCACUCUCCAGAUCUCAUCUUACAAAUCUACCCUCUUACAUUAGAAGGUUCUUCUGAUGGUUACAGGAAUGAAUGAUCUUUCUACACUGAAACAGAGUGAAGCUACCUUUCAUUGUUUCUUUCUAAAAUGGUAUCAGGAAGCUACUGUUAGUAAGGAUUCACCCUGCUUCAGUCCUGGAAAUGUUGUCUCUAUUGAUUACAGUAGAAGAUUUUUCUUUUUUACUUCCUUAUUCAGACUAAAAGUCUUUUGGAAAUUAUAAGAAGGUUUGUUUAAAUGUGGACUGAAGAAUAAAUGGAUAGAUUUAAAUGAUGAAAUGAAACUUGGAAGUACUUGGAGCACUGCAAGACAACAAAACCAAGCCAAAUUUCUUAAAGUUCUAAUUGGAAUGCACCCAAAACGAGUAAAACUUCUGUCAGGAGCAAAGGGUGAGAAAGGCUUUGGGAAGUUCCAGCAAAAGCUGAGAUUUGGUUAAGAUUAACUUUCAAUUUCCCCCACCCACAUGUGUCAUCUGAUAUUCAAAAAUAUUCAGAGAAAAGAGAAACUUUAUGGGAGAUUGUAGUUUCAGCAACAUUUCCUAGCCUUAAUUUUAGGACUAAGAUUAAAUAAGAAACUUUAGUCUCAUUGGUUCUCUCAGAACGUUGGGAUCUCUUCUGAAAGGCUGCAGCAUAGAGAAAGAAGAGUUUCUUAGAAGACUGGCAUUUAAAAGAUGAAGCAGUAAAACCUGUUAUUCUUUUUCCUCAUUUCUGCUUAAAACUGUUCACUCAUUUAUAAGAGUGUCUAUCCAAUUUGCUUUGCAAACAAAAUACAUUCCUACUGCAAAGAUCUUAAAUUCAGCUUAAGAAGGUGAAGGAGGGUAAGAGGGAAGAAAUAGUGCUAUCCUCAUUUCCCCAAGGUGCAAUUUUUAGUAUGAUCAUUGUGUAUGUUCACUCUGUAGACUUCGUUAGAGUAAAUAUACAUCAAAGGUAGCUUUAAAUAAAGAAUUCUACUUUCAUGAUGUAAAUUAGACUUUUAAAAGUCUUAACAUGCUCCAACUAUACCACUUUUGCCUCUGAGCUAAUUCAUAUGAAGCUCUGCAGUGUAGACCUACCCAAAUGCAGGAAAUAACCCCGAGUUUUCUGAAUCUCAAACCCAGUAUCUUUGCUAACACCCUUCCUGCCUUCCAAUAAAAAAAGACAGGAUAUAAGAACUGGGAGGAGAGCUAAGAACAUGAAAUUAAUCUUCCCAUGUAGCUUAUAGAAUUUAUUUACUUAAUUAAUUGAGGAGCUCAACACUUUUAGCAAAAGGAAAAAUUAGGAAGCAAAAAGUCAGUGAUAAUCUAGAAUAUCUUAAAGGAAUUAUCAAAGACUAUGGGGAAAAUCACAACAAUUGAUGAAUAGAAGUAGAUAUAGUACUAAGUUCAAAACUCAGAUCUCUGGCUCUGUGUCUUGGACGCCUGGUGACUGAAAGGAAAGGAUGAGUGUUAGAGGGCUGAUGUACAAAGGAAACACACCAUUCAGAUACAGAUUGAAUAUAUAGGUUUACAGAGCUUGAUGACUAAAAGAUGGCACAUAAUAGCGAGACUGAGCUGAAGAUGUUUGCACUGCCUGGACUGUGUGAAAGAUGUUACGGAGAAAGGCUUAAAGUUUUGCCUGUGGUGUCUUAGAAAUGUUGGCAGACACCGUGAUAAAAUAACAGAAACAGAGUAAUCACUAGGAUGGCAGAGGAAAAAAGCAGAUUUGAGAGAGGCUAAGGCUAGCAGUGAAUAGCUACUAUCCUUCCCCAGUUGGGUUUUGGUUACACACGGUCUUUCAGGGCACCUGUUUGAGUGCUUAACCACCCUCCCUGUGAUCAAAUGCGAGCCUCUACAGGGCUGUGUUAGAUGCUGGAGAAGGGCACAAUUGUUUAGAUCUAAAAGGAUUCCAUUUGGAGGCUUUCUUUGGCUUUGCAAAAAUGCACAACCAAAUUCAAUAAAGACGCUGUUGAUUUUGGUGAAAGCAGAGUUAGUCUUACGCUUUGUGGUUUUGAAAAUUCUGCCCAUUGAUGACAAUUGAAACUACUCUGAAUAUUAACUGUGAUGGAAAAAAUGCAUAGGUUCUAAUAUCUGAGACUGGGAGUUACAACUUAUAACUCCGUAAUGAGAUGUACUUCUGUAGGUGCCAGACCUGCUUGGUUUUCUCACCUCUGUGCUGCACACCCAAGAGUGACACCCUGCCUCGGGCAAGGCAGAGAUACUUUCUUGUCAAAGAGUGUCUCAGGGAGCCACAAAACAAUGAAUCAAUGGAUUGAACGUCACAAGCGCGCAACGAGCAUUCAAAGUGUGUAGCAGGUUUCCAGCUGACCAGCAACCGAAGGCUGGUAAGUAUGUAGUAGAAGCAGUACAUUUCAGGUCCUAGGGAGAGACAUGCGCUUCACUAAGUUACAGAUUAACUGCUGGGGUGCACUACAGCUUCUUUUAGGUUUGCCUAUUCAGACUUCUCUACUGAUGUGUCAGUGAUAUAGAUGUGGUUGUGUUUUGAGGUCAAACUUUAGCCUAACUGGUGCUCAGAUGCAACUAAGAUGUGUACCUGGUGUCAGGAAAUGGGAAGUUUUCUCUGUUUCUUAAUCUGGAGGUAACUUCAAGGGUGUAUUUCAUUUCCAAGUAGUGUCAUUCUUCUGACUUUGCUGCAGCCCAUGUAACUCACAAUUUCUCCUGCAUUUUUGUUGAAAUAGCAGCCUUCUCUCUGAUCAGCCAUUAAGCUAACACUGGGAUGUGGUCACUGAAGGUUCACUGCAUCCUAAAAGAAGAUCUGUGUCUGAUGCAAAGAAGAGACAAAGAACAAAGAGUUCAAACAUGGCUCUAGUCUGAAGACACCAUGGAAGAAUUCUACCUUCUAUCGGAACAUCAUCACUUGGAUUUAUGACCAGAGCAGAAGAAUAUUUUGAUGUUGUUGCUUGUAUUCUAAGUGUAUUCGGAGUGAAUGAACUAAAAGAGAUCUACAUAUUUCAGAGAGCAUCCUGUUACUACAAAAACUGUUCACCAAAACAUCAGCUGGAAAUGCUUUUCUUCUGUAUGAUCAAUCCUGUGAGUUAUGUAUAACUGGCUUCAGAGAGGAGAGGAUGGAUGAGACAGUGGAACAGCUGCAAUCUCUUCGUUUGCUGUGUGAACACUUUUUUCCUUGAGCUUCUUGGAAUUGGUAUUUCAAGCAGAAUGAGAUACUGUCACCUGGAUCAGCAUCAGCUCUCUGCUCACGUGUAAUUCAUACCAGUAGAGAAAGCAGAAAUUUUGUCUUGAGAAAGUCACAGAAACAAGAAUCACCCAGGGUAUUUGUAUCCCAAUAUCUACAGCUUCCACUCUCUCUCCUUUCUCUAUCCUUUCCUAUGAAGCCCCUUCAGAAUGAGUGAUGUGUGGAAAUGCUAAUUUGCUCAUCUUUUGUUUCUCUGCUUCCUGCUGUAUUGCAGGGGUCAAUGUAUUUGAUUAAUACAGUUACUAGUCUUUUGCAAAUCAGAAUCAUUAAGGUUGGAGAAGACUACUAAGAUCAUCUAGUUCACCCAUCAAACAUCUGUCAUAAUCUUCCUGACUUCAAGAGGUGAAAUGAAGUUGAAUCUGGUGAAAGUGUUUAGACAGUGUCGGGUUCAUGAGGUUCUUCAGAUUUGGAAAAUCUGCAUCUGUUUCUUAACUCUAGCAUUUCAGGUAUGUUUUCUGGGCACUGAACCUCUGGACCCACAUCCAGGAGAAGGGAUCUUGUAGUCCAGCUGCCCCAACUCAUUUAUGAAAGUAGUUUUGUUCCAGUAGCAUUUAUCUUUGUUACUUUUUUCCUACUGUGAUAUUUUAUGUCCAGCCCCGCAGAUUACCUGAUGUCAUUAAGCUACAGCCAUUGUAGCUUAAUUGUAUUGUUCCGUGGUGUUUCCAAUUUGCAAGGAGAAUUAUUCAUAUUAAUAACUCUCCACUCUUCAUGUCUUAUCUUCCUAAGUUGUGUUGGAGGGCGAUACAGUGCAAGCCCUACUGUCAAAAUGCUUCUGUAUACUUUCAGGCGUUAAGUGAUUUGCCUUUGGUGAAUUCACAUGAAUUCAAGGCUUUUAGGGACUGACAUAAAAUCAGCCAGAAUUCUUCAGGUUUUCUUAAUUUCCCCUCAGGUCACAUUGUCCAGUUUUGCCUCUGAUAGCAGGCCUUGACCUAAAUGCUUCUGCCUCUACUACUGCUGAGCCUUGUCUUGUUUCAGAGAGAGACAGCUUGUCCUUCUGUGUAGGGACAGAAUUUAUGCUGUUUACAGUGCAAGGGAAGGGUGGAGGUUGAGUUAAAAUAUUGCAUUACCGAUACCGCUUGAAUUCAGCAAACAUUUUUGGCCUAGUCCUGCAUGCAGUGCAAAGGAGAUUUUUUCAUUCCUGUGAACUGACAGGGUAACCAUUGAUCAUGUGGAGAGAUGAGGCUUUUAGGUUCAUUGCAUCACUAGCAUAAGAUGUAGUACCUUAUGCGUAACUAUGGAAAACUCUAACAUGUUUUUAGAGGAUAAGGGAGUGCUUAGAAAAACAUCAAAGCAUCUUUUCAGUUGCUGUUCAAAACCACUCUUGUUUCGCAGUUUUUAAGCACUAUCACUCAGCACUGGUUUUGCUUCCUAAUGUUGAUUUGCUUUCAGCUGAGCUUUUGUUUCGCAAAGUUUGUGAAACACACCUGCCUAAAUACUUCAGCAAUAUGGAGCAAAUCUGAAAAUGGCUCAGUAUCUAUUAUUUCAUAACUGAAACCUAGUCAGGUUUCUUUUGUACUUUAGUGCGAUAUUGUAAGCCACACAGGAAACCUACCUUCAUUUCUAUAGUGACUUAUUCUAGAAUAUUUGGUCAGAUAUUAUCAACUAUAUAAUAUAUUAAAAUUACUCAGUGUUGGCACCACUCCUAAAUUCAAGCCUGUCUACAUGCAUUAGAGCUCUAUUCGGAUAUUCAAAGAGAUUAAAAUGAGUUUCAUUUUCUGCCAGACGACAAAUAAAGUAACCAUCAAAGCAGGUAAAGCCAAAAUAAAAAGAAAAAAAAAGACACUGUGAAAUUUUCUGAAAUGUCUUCUUUCUUUAUUUACAAAAAGAUUAGGUCAAGUGAUUCUUUUAUGACAAAUGGUGCUCCUGUUCCUACCGAAAUCAAUGACAAAGCCUCAUUGAGAUCACUGGCAGCAUAAGCUGUUCCAGUUAGGCUGCACAAACACAAACCCUGACUGUGCCUUCGCUGACUUCAGUGUAAAUCUGCAUUAACCCGCCUCAACUUCUGUCUAGAUAGAACUUGACUGUUCUUGAAGUCCAUCAAAAUGGGUUUCACUCUUUCUGAUCAAAGUACAGCUGUUAAUGAUGAAGAGAGAAGUAUUUUUACUAACAGGAACAGAUGCAAAGAUAUGAGUUAAUGAAACCAAACUGCAUAACUAUACUGAUCAGCAGAAUGUUCAGCUAGCAUCAUCAGCAUUGCCAGAAUGGAUUUCAGUGGAAAUAUACUGCUUUUUCGCAUGCAGUGGUCUGGCAGACUACACAAUUUUCUCAGGUCAGGGGAAGCUUAGACAUAGAAUCAUAGAAUCAUAGAAUUGCUCAGGUUGGAAAAGGCCUUAAAGAUCAUUAAGUCCAACCACAACCUAACCAUACUGCCCUAACGACCCUCCGCUAAAUCAUGGCACUGAGCACCACAUCCAAACAGUUUUUAAACACAUCCAGGGAUGGUGACUCAACCAAAUGCUGAAGCCUAAAUACUUUCUAGUCUCAGAGUCAAACUGUUUCACAUUGUCUCACUCUCUGUCCUUCUCCCCAUUCCAGUUUCUCCCAGCAUUUAUAUAUUGGUGAUUUUCUGAAAACUUUUCAUAGGAUUCCCCACAUCCUCCAGAGCUUAAUAAAAAGUCUGAGUCUGAAGGAAGGUCUCCUUGUGAGUUAGUAAUUGGUUAGGAGAUGAAAAGCAAAGGUGGGAGCUACUGGUCAUUUUUCACAUUUCAAGGAAGUUAGACGAGGAAAGCAGGGAAAGGAGACUGUGCCAGACCCUACUUUGUCCAGCGCAUUCAGAAAUGGCCUGGAAAAGAUGGUGAUAGCCAAGGUGGAUGAUGAUACAAAGUCAUUUCCACUAGUCAAUAAGAAAAGCUGCCUGAGAAAUUAGCACAGGGAUUUCACAUCAAUUGCCUAAGUAGUACAAUAGUAAAGAAAAUACGAGGCUGAUAAAUGCACCAGUGAUAACUGUGCAACUGUGAAAAAUACAGCCCUAGGAAAUGCAGAUAGUUCUGAAUGAGCUGUUGACAUUCAGCAGAGAGAUCUUGGAGUCACUGUAAAUGCUAAUAUUAAAAAAAAAAUAACAUCAGCUUAACAUUCAGACCAGGGACUGGGUGUGGUUCUUGGCUUAAAAAAACCGAACUGCUGGUUGCUAGAAACUGGAAGAUAUAAAAGGGGAAGGAACUCUGUGUACUCACCCAGUUUCCAGUAAUGUCCAUUGCUUGUCACUCCUGAGAGAUAUCGAGCUAUAUAGAUCUUUGCUAUGACCUACUUCAUCUGCUCUUAUAUCCUUAUGUAAGAUGAACUGUACAAGAAUGUUGAUCUAAGCUGUAGUCACAAAGGAAAGUGAAACUAUAGAGAAGUGUUUGACCUGAGAACCAAUGUUGCAAGUCCCAGGCAAAGGACUAAAGGAUCACAACAAACAAAAAAGCCUCAGAAGAUACCACAAAGACACACUAAAUUAACCUCCAGCACGUUAGAAGCUUGCUAGAUGUUGCUGUUGCUAUAGCAUGAGGGAUGAUUGAGACUCCAAAAUACCAAAUAAAGCACAGAAACACUUGAUGAGCUCAGAGACAUCUGUGAACAGUACAUUCUGGAACUGUAGAGUGUCCAGUAGGUGCAGAAUGAGACAGGCAUCAGCUUAAUGAACAGUGUUUACAGGAAAAACAGCAUCUUCCCCUCGGAAAGACACUGAAAAGAAAGUAAAAGAGCUGUCAACUUUAAAGCAAAUGGAAUCCAUCCCAGACUGCUAAUUCUUAUCUUCUGUUACGUAACUUGACCGUUAAACUGAUGAUUGUGCCUGUUGUGCUUGACAAGGCAUAUGGAAUAUUACAAUAUCUGAAAGU
This is a long non-coding RNA of Gallus gallus (chicken), 17904 nucleotides long. RefSeq lists it as uncharacterized. NCBI's taxonomy places the organism in Eukaryota, Metazoa, Chordata, Aves, Galliformes, Phasianidae. The record is from RefSeq and is a predicted model, not a curated record. The transcript has 2 exons.